This 206-nucleotide non-coding RNA is filed under the name Lachnoclostridium phytofermentans. Lineage: Bacteria; Bacillati; Bacillota; Clostridia; Lachnospirales; Lachnospiraceae. RNAcentral also lists the same sequence under 1 other name. The record is from RNAcentral.
AUAGAAUUGAAUUAUACAAAUUUUGUGCGAGUUCUCUCGUACAGGAAGUUGGGUGCAAUUCCCACACAGGAGCGCUACUGUGAUAACGGAGCAGUUUUCGAAAAGAACCUGAAUAGUAUGUUCUUUGACCACUGGAAGUAAUUCUGGGAAGGUGAAAAAUUUGCGGUGAUGUUUAAGUCAGAAUACAUUUGUAUAAUGAAAUGUAC